RNAcentral lists this small RNA (27 nucleotides) under Bombyx mori (domestic silkworm). RNAcentral's name for it is "ovarian small RNA-10150". Lineage: Eukaryota; Metazoa; Arthropoda; Insecta; Lepidoptera; Bombycidae. The record is from RNAcentral.
AAAUGACUACAAUGUUACAACUGGUGA